AAGGGCACCACAAGAACGCGUGGAGCAUGUGGCUUAAUUUGACUCAACGCGGGAAAUCUUACCGGGUCCGGACACACUGAGGAUUGACAGGCAAUAUUAGCUACUGGGUUCGCUCAGUACGCUAUGUUAAAUAUGCUAGUCCUUUCAUGAUUAUGUGAUAGGUGGUGCAUGGCCGUUCUUAGUUCGUGGAGUGAUCUGUCUGCUUAAUUGCGUUUCACUAAGGGCCUAUAAUUUAACGUGUGUUGCGGCACUUUGACCCCUCCUUUUGGAGCGCGUGUCUUAGUUUGCUUAGCUCGCACAAUUAGGUCCUGAAAGCAACGAACGUGACCGCAACCUCUUGUUGCCUUUAUACCAAACACGUUUGUUCUGUACCAUUUUGGUCAGUCGCUCGUGCAAAAAGGCCUUUUAAACUAGAGGGACCGCUGUUACUUUCUUAAACCAGAGGAAGGUUGCGGCAAUAACAGGUCUGUGAUGCCCUUAGAUGUUCCGGGCUGCACACGUACUACAAUGAUUAUUGCAGUGAGCAUCUCAUUUUUUACACACCGCAUUCACGAGUCCAUUUAUUCAAACGUCUUCGGGCUUUGCUUUAAAUGUGCAUCUCUGUGAGCGGUAAAGCCUGCUUCGACAGUAAGUGGGUAAUCAAUUAGAAGUAAUGAUUUCCUUUUUUUUUCAGCACACAUAUAUACGGCGUUUAUACCCGGGUUAUCCUUGUUGAUAGCUUUUGUGUGUAUAGAUGUUUUUUCCGUAUGUGCAAUUGUCAAUUCAUGGUGGGGACAGACCAUUGUUAAUUGUUGGUCUCGGUCUUAACUAGGAAUGCCUUGUACGGGUCUUUGGUUCAACAAACCACCCGGAAUACGUCCCUGCCCUUUGUACACACCGCCCGUCGCUCUUACCGAUGGACUUCUCUGUGAGUUUGAGGGACUGGGAACGCAGUGUCUCUUCGGAACGCUGCACACCUAUGGAAACUUAAACGAACAGUGUGGUCUAAAGGAAAGAGAAGUCG
Molecule: ribosomal RNA, 1003 nt
Filed under: Foraminifera sp.
Lineage: Eukaryota; Foraminifera
Description: SSU rRNA
Rfam family: Eukaryotic small subunit ribosomal RNA
Source: RNAcentral